AUUUUAGGCCGUGGUGGCGAUAUCGUAACCAAUGAGGUCCAUCCGAGGUGCGAUUAUCACUAGUUGAAAACUUUAACCAACACGCCGUCACGUGGGCAUGAAACAUUGUGUCCGUAGUCAAUUUUUAGAGGCCCUAACGGGC
This is a non-coding RNA of Acyrthosiphon pisum (pea aphid), 142 nucleotides long. The record is from Rfam. Lineage: Eukaryota; Metazoa; Arthropoda; Insecta; Hemiptera; Aphididae.